UCCGGGGGGAGCAAGCGUUGUCCGGAUUCAUUGGGCGUAAAGAGCUCGUAGGCGGCCACUCAAGUCGAAUGUGAAACCUCGAGGCUUAACCUCGAGCCUGCAUUCGAUACUGGGCGGCUAGAGUCUGGUAGGGGGAUCUGGAAUUCCUGGUGUAGCGGUGGAAUGCGCAGAUAUCGAGAGGAACACCUGCGGCGAAGGCGGGUUGCUGGGCCGACACUGACGCUGAUGCGCGAAAGCCAGGGGAGCGAACGGG
RNAcentral lists this ribosomal RNA (253 nucleotides) under uncultured bacterium. RNAcentral's name for it is "partial 16S ribosomal RNA". It matches the Rfam family "Bacterial small subunit ribosomal RNA", at positions 524 to 776 of the family's 1533-position model. The record is from RNAcentral.